AUUUAAAUAGCUUAAUAUAAAGUAUAGUGUUGAAGUUACUAGGAUGAUGUUUAUCUUUAAAUA
This 63-nucleotide transfer RNA is filed under the name Prionoglaris stygia. RNAcentral's name for it is "tRNA-Phe". Lineage: Eukaryota; Metazoa; Arthropoda; Insecta; Psocodea; Prionoglarididae. The record is from RNAcentral.